UUAAAAGCCCCUCUCUCCAAUCCCAUCCAAUCCGCGCAUAAGAUUUAGGUCAUUACGCAGCCUGCAUUUUUCCCCGCGAUUUAAGUAAUCUAUCAACAGUCAUCGAGUCAACACGAUAGAGAAAGAGAGUAGAGCAUCCACUGUUGUCUUUUUCUCUUUUAAAAGUGCUGCUGUAGCUCCGAAGAAGGAGAAGACGGUUCAGUGCCAGUCUGCACAGGUGCUCAUCAGGCAGAUGUAUCAUGGGUAUUGCUUGCCAUGGGCCCAUCCAAUGCAUGCCUGCAACGCUUUGAAGCUCUCGGCGGAAGGACCAAAGGAAAAGACAUAAUAGAUGUUUUGUCUGUGCUUUUGGAAGGCAUCUUGUUCAUAACCUUCUCCUUUGUUCUUUUCUCCUCCAUCUCUCUCUCUUUCUUGAGUUUCGGGUUCGGUUGAGAACCCCCCGGAGAGUUCGAAAUUUGGUUCUUUUUCCGAAGAGGAUUUGGUAUUUGUUUAGAGUUUGGUGGAUUAGGGUGUUUGUGGUGUCAUUUAGAUUUGAAUUUGUUGUCUUAGUCAGCAGUUCUUUUUGUUUGGGUGGUUCAGGUCUGUGGUAGCUGCUGUUUGCUCUAUGUUCUGCUUGGGAGCUAUGUUGUAGUUGAGUUGUUCGAAAAUGUGUAACUUUGUAUGGUUUUUUGGGUAUUUAUGGCUGAUUUUUCAGCUUAUCUGUGACUUUUAAGGGGUUUGGUGGUCAACUUCUAUAGGCUUUCUCUAAAUGCUGUCCUGGUUAGAAUUUUAUCGUCUGUUUUUUCUUACUUUUUGCUUUUCAGUGUAUUUUUUUUUGUUUCCUGGUAAUUGGAGUAUGAUCUUGGAAAUUUAAGACUAGAGUUGGCGAUGCUUUUAUCCCAUUACCCCAAACUGCUCUUUUUUUUUUGCUUCCCCUUGGGUUAUUUUUUGGUGCUAUCUAAGGAAUUAGUAGCUUUUUGAUUGAGGUUCUUUGUUGGCGUCAUAGGCGUUUGAGUCUGCUUGAGUUGUUUAUUUGAAAAUUUUAAUCUGUUCAAGAUGGCUUGCGUGAAGCUAGGCUCAAAAAUGGACACUUUCCAGCGUCAAGGAUGGGCUUGGUUUACCACUACUGGCCUCCCAAGUGAUGUUACCAUUGAAAUUGGAGAUUUGUGCUUUCAUCUUCACAAGUUUCCUUUGUUAUCCAAGAGUGCUCUUCUUGAAAAACUGAUUGCUGAGAAGUCUGGUGAAGAAGAGAGCUGUAUCAUAAAGCUUCCAGAUAUUCCUGGUGGUUCGAAGGCAUUUGAGCUAAUUGCCAAGUUUUGCUAUGGUAUCAAAAUAGAACUUACUGCUUUGAAUGUAGCAUACACCCGGUGUGCCGCUGAGUAUAUGCAAAUGACUGAAGAGAUUGCUGAGAGGAAUUUAAUCUAUGAGUCCGACGUAUUUCUCAAUCAAGUCGUUCUUCGUGGCUGGAAUGAUUCACUAAGAGCUCUCCAAACUUGUGAUGAUCUUCUCCCUUGUGCUGAAGAUCUUAAUAUAGUGACAAGAUGCAUUGACUCAUUAGCCAUGAAGGCUUGCAUGGACCCUGAUCUAAUUGGCCGGCCGACGAUGGAGCAUGGCUCCAUGAAAAGCCCCUGUGGAAGCGUUCUUUGGAAUGGGAUAAGUACUGGAGCAAGACCCAGAAGUUAUAGCUCAGAUUGGUGGUAUGAGGAUGUUGCAUCUCUGAGUCUUCCCUUUUAUAAGCGGUUUAUAUCAGUGAUGGCGUCCCGAGGUAUCAGAGAAGAGAUUAUUGCUGGUUCAAUAGCCUCCUAUGCAAAAAGGUACCUCCCUGGAUUAAACAAAAGGCACAAUGCAGCACCAAUGACUUGUACAUCUGUACUGUCUGAGGAUGAACAAAGAGUUCUUCUUGAAGAAAUUGAGAGUUUACUGCCCAUCCAAAAGGGUGUGGCUUCUACAAAGUUUCUUUUUGGUCUUCUGCGCACUGCGAUUAUUUUGAAAGCCAAUUCUACAUGCUUGUCUAACUUGGAGAGAAGGAUCGGCAUGCAAUUGGAUGAAGCCAGUUUAGAGGACCUGCUGAUGCCUACGUUUUCUUACUCUUUGGAAACACUUUACGAUGUUGAUUGCAUCCAGAGAAUUCUUAAGCACUUCCUAGCCAUGGACCAGGCUACUGGUGGAGCUUCUCCUGGUCUGGUAGAUGAUGAGCAGUUGAUGGGCUCUCCUUCCCUUACACCAAUAACCACUGUGGCUAAGCUUAUAGAUGGGUACUUGGCAGAGGUUGCCCCUGAUGUUAAUUUACAGCUGCCAAAGUUUCAGUCACUCGCAGCAGCCAUUCCAGAGUAUGCACGUCCCCUGGAUGACGGGCUAUACCGUGCCAUUGAUAUAUAUUUAAAGGCACACCCUUGGCUAUCAGAAUCUGAGAGAGAACAGCUAUGCAGGCUGAUGGACUGCCAAAAGCUCUCCCUUGAAGCCUGCACCCAUGCUGCGCAGAAUGAGAGGCUUCCACUUCGAGUUGUUGUCCAAGUUCUCUUCUUCGAGCAGCUUCAACUUAGAACCUCAAUUGCUGGCUGUUUCCUCGUUUCUGACAACAUUGAUGGUUCACGACCAUUAAGGAGCGGUCUUGUUGCGCCAAGUGAAGGUGGUGCCUGGGCCACUGCUGUCAGGGAAAAUCAGGUUUUGAAAGUUGGAAUGGAUCACAUGAGGAUGAGAGUCUCUGAACUUGAGAAGGAGUGUUCAACCAUGAGGCAAGAGAUUGAGAGGCUGGUGAGGUUGAGAAAUGGGUGGAGCGGCGGCAUAACCAAAAGGUUGGGCUUCAGAAUGAAGUCACAGAUAUGCAGCACACAAGAGGAUUCAGUUAGUGAGGAGCAGAGCAGGAGUGGGAAGAUUAAGGCUAUAAACAAAGCUCACAAAGCAUAACAGAAACUUAUCCAACGGUGAUUGGACUGUAUGCUACUUUUCCCCCUGUAUUUCACAGUUUUUAGUAUUUCUUGUAUUUUUUUUUCCAUAGAUUUUCGAUGCAUUCUCUAAAUUUUCAGUCAAGUUAUGUCGCUUCUCUCAAAAUGAGGAUAUGUAAUCUUCCUUCAGAUUAAUAAAAUGUCUGAAUUGUGCAAUUGGAGAGGACUCCGACGACCCUCCUACAUAGAGCUUCCGACGUGUCAGGAGUGUUUGCACUCGCGAAAUCGCAGCUCCAACAAGCAUUUC
This is an RNA transcript of Phalaenopsis equestris, 3168 nucleotides long. It is a transcript of the gene named BTB/POZ domain-containing protein At1g30440-like, with no coding region annotated. The transcript has 5 exons. NCBI's taxonomy places the organism in Eukaryota, Viridiplantae, Streptophyta, Magnoliopsida, Asparagales, Orchidaceae. The record is from RefSeq and is a predicted model, not a curated record.